RNAcentral lists this microRNA (23 nucleotides) under Octopus bimaculoides (California two-spot octopus). RNAcentral describes it as "Obi-Mir-12548_3p (mature (co-guide))". The record is from RNAcentral. Lineage: Eukaryota; Metazoa; Mollusca; Cephalopoda; Octopoda; Octopodidae.
GUAGCUGGCUGAGACAAGAGACC